Molecule: non-coding RNA, 1220 nt
Organism: Corylus avellana
Lineage: Eukaryota; Viridiplantae; Streptophyta; Magnoliopsida; Fagales; Betulaceae
Source: RefSeq, a predicted model, not a curated record
CAUUAUUCCCAUCAUUUCCUUGCCUUUCUCAUUUAUGCAUCGAUAAUUGUCCUAUGACGUAAGAGGUGUGCCUCUUUACGUCGUUUGACAAUUGAUGAGUGUCCUCGCUUGGAGGAAAGAUGUGAACAGAGAAUGGGAGAGGAUUGGCCAAAGACUGCUCACGUCCCAAUUAACUUUCAAAAUGGCGGAGAUGGUAAUCGUAUAGAGUGGAGCGCAAGCCAAACUUGCCAAAUUUAUCAGGAACAAUUGAAGGUUUUGCGAAUAGACACUUCUUCAAACCUUGCCGACAAUCAGAUUUGCUGAGAAGAAUGAGCUUCGUGAUGAGAAGCAGAGGCUCAAGGCUGGCAAAGAGAAGUUGGAGGAGCAAGUGAAAGCAAUGAGUGCUCAACCAGACUCCCUGCCUCAUCCCUCUGCAAUGUUUGGUACAUUUUCUGCUCAAGCUGAUGGUUGUCCCAACAUGGCAAUUCAUGGCACCUGCUGUAGUUGACACAUCACAGGAUCAUGUAUUACGCAAUUCAGGUAUAUGGAUAUUGCGGUUGGAAAACCAAAUUUGGCAACUAUGGUGCUCUUGGAAUAGCAUUUUAAGCAUAGGGCUUGUAAUGAUCUUCUGAAAGAUCAUAAGGAUUUGAAAGUUGAAGUGGUUGGAUGCUUGACAGGGGGAGGAUCUUGAGGUUCUUGGGAAGAGGAUCUUGAGGUUUAUCAUUCUGUAUUCAUCAUCUUUCUUUCAAGUUUUGUUCUAUGGAUUCCAUUCCUCUAUGCCCCAUGCCCCCAUGGUUCUACUUCCUCUUGGAACUUGGCUCGAGAUUGUGCUUUUUCUACUCAACUUACUCCCUGAUUGAAAAUGUCUUCAUUUGGCAACAGAGGCCCAGAGAGCUCUAAAGGGAAGCUAUGUUUUCCCCCCUAAAGGAAACCUUGGGGCCGAGCCAGAGCUUGAAAUGGGUGGCCCCCUCAAGAGUCGUUUGGGAAAGCUAGGUAAGAGAUAGUUGGGCUGCACAGUUGUUAAUCAGUUGGGCUUUAGUUGUUAGUUAGUUGGGCUGGACAGUACGUUGUUAAUCAGUUGGGCUUGAUAGCUAGAAUCAAUUGGGCUUGAUAGCUUGGGCUUGAUAAAUGGUAUAUAAACCAAAAGUCAGUAGAAGUCCAUUAUCGAAGAGCUUGUACUUUCUGGAAUCUGUAGUUUGUAGUUCUUGAUAGCUUGUAGUUGAUAUUUUAGCCUAGUCUUG